UACGUAGGGGGCUAGCGUUGUCCGGAAUCAUUGGGCGUAAAGCGCGUGUAGGCGGUCCGGUAAGUCCGCUGUGAAAGUCGAGGGCUCAACCCUCGAAUGCCGGUGGAUACUGUCGGGCUAGAGUACGGAAGAGGCGAGUGGAAUUCCUGGUGUAGCGGUGAAAUGCGCAGAUAUCAGGAAGAACACCCGUGGCGAAGGCGGCUCUCUGGAACGCAACUGACGCUGAGACGCGAAAGCGUGGGGAGCAAACAGG
RNAcentral lists this ribosomal RNA (253 nucleotides) under uncultured bacterium. Its description in RNAcentral is "partial 16S ribosomal RNA". It matches the Rfam family "Bacterial small subunit ribosomal RNA", at positions 524 to 776 of the family's 1533-position model. The record is from RNAcentral.